UUGCCCUGAUGGGAUUGGACACUGCGUAACGUAUGCCGGUCCAUCUGCCCAACCGGUUCGGAGCUGCCGAAUUCCGUGCCUGACCAGAACAAGAAAGUGAGGUUUCUGGUGAAGAGGAAAGGGCAGAGAAAGUUGAGAGUUGAAGGAAGGUGGCAUUCUCAAAUCUCAAGUAAGUAAGGUGAAAAUGGAUAGUUUGCAAAAAAA
This is a long non-coding RNA of Cucurbita moschata (crookneck pumpkin), 204 nucleotides long. RefSeq lists it as uncharacterized. The record is from RefSeq and is a predicted model, not a curated record. NCBI's taxonomy places the organism in Eukaryota, Viridiplantae, Streptophyta, Magnoliopsida, Cucurbitales, Cucurbitaceae. The transcript has 2 exons.